CAUGGUUAAGUGGGAAACGAUGUGGGAAGGCCCAGACAGCCAGGAUGUUGGCUUAGAAGCAGCCAUCAUUUAAAGAAAGCGUAAUAGCUCACUGGUCGAGUCGGCCUGCGUGGAAGAUGUAACGGGGCUAAACCAUGCACCGAAGCUGCGGCAGCGACGCUUAUGCGUUGUUGGGUAGGGGAGCGUUCUGUAAGCCUGUGAAGGUGUGCUGUGAGGUAUGC
Molecule: ribosomal RNA, 221 nt
Filed under: Shigella flexneri
Lineage: Bacteria; Pseudomonadati; Pseudomonadota; Gammaproteobacteria; Enterobacterales; Enterobacteriaceae
Description: partial 23S ribosomal RNA
Rfam family: Bacterial large subunit ribosomal RNA
Source: RNAcentral